UACCCCAUUUCUAUGGAAAUUCGGUUUUUUUACCCCUCCGCCAAAGUAAUCGGAAUCGUGCCGAAAAGAGUACUGAAGAAAUUUGGGAGCCGGUUUGAUUGUCCUUGAUCCUACUAGUUGACACGGCGAUUUUGGGGUUUGGUUACAAGGUGUAAUAAACUUCGUGGCAAAUUUUCAGCGAAAAACCUGCUUCUAAUAAAGGCCAUUAUCCACUUUAUUUAUUGCUUAAAACUUUUAUUUCCCUCCUAUAAUCGAAAAACAUCAAAAGUAGAAUUUUGGACAAUGGAUGUAUGUAUGUAUCAGUUGAAAACCGAGCGAAUUCAUCUACUGCAUACCACUCUUUUGUCAAUGCAACUGGAACAAAGGCGGAAAAAUUUACUUACAUAUGUAUGUACAUAUAUAAAUAUGUAUAUAAUAUGUAGGGUCAAGGACAAAAAUCAGAACAGUAAAUAAUUUAUAGUUCAUUUCAAAAAGACAUACCCAAUCUCGAGUAGAUAUAAAAACAAAUAUUUGAUGCAGCACCGUACUCCUUCAUUGUAUAUUUUCGUCCCUCAGUCAAAUAUUUUCAAGACAUUGAAUUUCUUUUCAUAAAUUUAGCGUUUCUUACAAUUUCUGCUGUGAAAAUAAAAACCCCAAAACAAGUUAGGAAAUAAAAAAAAAACUACAACAAAGCC
Molecule: long non-coding RNA, 674 nt
Organism: Bactrocera latifrons
Lineage: Eukaryota; Metazoa; Arthropoda; Insecta; Diptera; Tephritidae
Exons: 3
Source: RefSeq, a predicted model, not a curated record